Molecule: long non-coding RNA, 674 nt
Organism: Eptesicus fuscus (big brown bat)
Lineage: Eukaryota; Metazoa; Chordata; Mammalia; Chiroptera; Vespertilionidae
Exons: 3
Source: RefSeq, a predicted model, not a curated record
UCCAGUAAUUUUAACGUGCAGAUGGAUUUUUAAUAACCACUGAUUUAAGACAAGGAGGUGAAGGAGACUUUGAAGAAGGAAUUGUAGAUACAGAGAUUUCCUGAUUAGGAUGGAUAAUGGCCUGAUGUACAAACCGAACUCCCAGAGUGUCCGCCAGGAACUCAUACUCACCAGGAGUUGAGUGCUCCUGGAGCCAUCUCUCCUCUGGCAGGCGGACAUGUAAUCUCACCUGGUCAGGACGAUGGGCACCUAAUUGGGUGGUGAGACUUUAGGAUCUAACAAUUGCCAGGAAGAUUCUGGGAGGGAAGAAGCUAAACUCGGAAUUAAUUUGGUUCAGCCUGUGAAACAAUUCGGUGGCUCUGCCUAAUUCUGCCAAUGAAAGAACUUUUCCCAGAUACAAUUAGCAUGUAAAUCAGCGGCAGAGCGAGCAAGGGGCCCUGGCGGCGACCCGGGCAGGACAGAGGUGCCUUUAGGAGAACCGCGAGGACCGCGAGGACCCUUCGCCUCGGGCCCGCGCCAGGGGCGCAAGGAGGAGCUCAGGAAUCCAGCUCGAGCUGGCCCUGCCGUCGCCAGCCAAAAGCUGCCUGUUAAAUAGUGCAGUCGAGGAUGGAGCCGUCCUGGCCCACCAACGCCCUGCUCCCGAUCCCAACCGGACUCGAAAAGGACCUCGGAGA